Molecule: long non-coding RNA, 1612 nt
Filed under: Equus asinus (donkey)
Lineage: Eukaryota; Metazoa; Chordata; Mammalia; Perissodactyla; Equidae
Description: lncRNA (ENSEASG00005024244.1)
Source: RNAcentral
UCCUGGUGCCAGCGUCCGGGAAGUGAUGACCAGGUGGCUGAGGCGAGGAUGGAGAGGAGAAAGAGUCAGGUGAAUGGAUAAGCUAUGGCAUAUUCAUAUGAUGAUGACGACAGAUACUCUUCAACAACAAAAAGGACUGGAGUAUUGCCACAUGCAGUAACAUGGAUGAAUCUCAAAAACAGAAUGUCAAGUCAGAGAAGCCAGACGGAAAAGAGCACCUACCAUAUGAUUCUGCUUAUAUGAAGUUCCAGAACAGGCAAAAUCAAUUUAUGUGGGGAAAAAAAUCAGAAGACUGAUUGCCUUUGGAGAGAGUGGAGUGGGAUGAGGGUAAGGGCUGACUUAGAAGAGGCUUGAAGGAACUUUAGGAGGUGGUGGUACUGUUCUUUAUCUUGAUAUCUUCAUUUGGAUUUCUUAGGUGUGUGCACAUAUUAAAACUCAUUGAAUUGGGGUUAGCCUGGUGGUGUAGCGGUUAAGUUUGAGUGCUCUGCUUCAGCAGCCCGGGGUUCACUGGUUCAGAUCGCGGGUGCAGACCUAUGCACUGCUCAUCAGGCCAUGCUGUGGCAGGUGUCCCACAUGUAAAAUAGAGGAAGAUGGGCACAGAUGUUAGCUCAGGGCUAAUCUUCCUCACACACUCAAAAAACCUCAUUCAGUUGUACACUUAGAUUUCAUUGUAUGUAAGUUUUACAUGAAAAGAAAAAACUAUAAACAAAUAUUGAAUUCUGGUUAAGAGACAUGCUAUGAACUUACGAAUGAACUGUACUUGAUACCAAAUCUCUUAAUCUCAAAUUCAUGUGCCCAGCGUGCAGUAAGCCAAUCAUUGAGACAUCAGUGCUUAGAGUUGGAGAAAGGUUUAAUCAAAUUGGCCAAAAUGAGAAGCUGGGAGGAUAGGUUCUCUCAAAUCUGCCUUGUUUUGUUUUUUUCUCCCCAAAGCCCCAGGACAUAGUUGUAUAUUCUAGUUGUAAGUCCUUCUAGUUCUCCUGUGUGAGCUGCUGACACAGCAUGGCUACUGAAAGACCAAUGGUGUGGUUCCGCACCCAGGAACUGAACCCAGGACACCAAAGUGGAGCAUGCUAAAGUUUAACCACUGGGGCAUCAGGGCUGGCUCUAAAUCUGCCUUAAUGAGAGAAGAAAGCAGGCAUUUUAUAGAGCUAAGAGGCUUGGCAGGAGGAGUUUCAGAGAAACAAAGGGGUAAUCUUGUUUCUUUCCCUCCAGAUAAGCCCUUGGGCAAUCUGACUUCUGGGCAUCAAGGUGUAGCUGGAGGCUGGUUAUCUGGUGAUCCAAAAAGUGGAACAACUCAACUGUCUGCCAGUUGAUGAAUGGAAGAAAAAAAUGCAGUCUGGUCAUACAAUGGAAUAUUAUUCACCAUAGAAAGGAAUGAAGAACUGAUACAUGCUACAACAUGGAUGAACCUUGAAGACAUCAUGCUAAACGAAAGAAACCAGACACGAGAGGCCACGUAUUGAGAACGGAUUAUAGUGGCAGAAAAAAAGGACCCAUCCAGGCUCAGCUCACAUGACCAUGGAGAUAACACUCAACACAGCAGGCAGAGGGAAGAGCAAGAACAAAAGCGGAAAAGAGAAAGAUGCAUCCGGGGACUGCAAGUCACUUGCAU